This is a long non-coding RNA of Triticum aestivum (bread wheat), 1701 nucleotides long. RefSeq lists it as uncharacterized. The record is from RefSeq and is a predicted model, not a curated record. NCBI's taxonomy places the organism in Eukaryota, Viridiplantae, Streptophyta, Magnoliopsida, Poales, Poaceae. The transcript is spliced from 2 exons.
UAUGGUAUUUAGCUAAAUAGCCUCAUGCAUAUGGACAUAGCGACCACACAUCUUCUUUCCUGAGCAGCCUAAAAAAUCCUCUUACCCGUUCACACUUCACACAGUAGCAUGUUGCUCUUGCCCGAUCCCCUUUUUCUCUUCCUUAUUCUCUUCGCUCACUACAAAAUUACUGCCGCCGGAUUGCUCCCAUCAACUCGCUCCCUUGAUUCGGUGCCUUGAGCUUGAUUGUCCUCACCUGCAGGCUGCAGCCACCCCUUGCAGCUCGAUUCGCUGGUGCGGCCAGUGGCUGGUUUGUCUCCUCAUACGCCUCCUCGGUCUCUUAGGCUGGUAAACGACGAUGAGGGGCUAGCAUGGCCCAAGGUGGAGCUACCGCAAGGGAGGAAGCUAGAUCAUCGAUCUGCACGGUGUUUUUGUUGUCGGCGUCCGUGCAGGUGAUGUAGUCUUUACUCUUUAGUAUGAGGAUGCUGGAGACAUUUUCUGCCCCUGGAGCGCCAGCCAGACAAAUCCUCACAUCGGCAACAUUUCUAAGUUCGAUCUGCUGGUCCACUUUUCCCUUUUCCUGACUCUGUCAUAUAUUUAUUUUUUUCGUAACCGUUUCUUAUGUUUGUGCGAUUGAACCAAUAUAACAUUUGAGCUUGAUUAAAUAGAAAUGAAUGAAAACAUAUUUUAAAGUCCUAGAAAAAAAUGCAUGUAGAUGUGCUUCAUAAGAUUAAGUUAAGUGACUUUUUUCAUUUUUUAUGUACUAUCAACAUAUUUUAGUUCAACAUGUUAGUCUUUACAACUGAAAAAAGCAUGUUAGUCUUUUAUGGGGACCAUGCAAAUAUAAAAGAAAUAUCAUAAUCAGGUGUUAGGAUGAACAUUUAACAUGCAAGGAAAAAAUCAGGACAGUCUCAAACUUAAAGGAGGAUUUUUAUUUGUUUAAUUCUGAAUUAUUUGGCUAUUCGAAGCUUGGGAGCAAAAGGUAUGCACUUGAUAUUGUGUUACAAUACUUUUAUGGAAGAUAAUAUAGAGAAAGCAGUAAACAUACACGUAGAAAGGUUCCACUACCAAAACAGCACCUGCAUCAUAUUUUGCAUACACCUAAUAAGAUGGAGAAAAUGGAGAACUUCUUCUUAUCAAGCCUAACUUUUUUAUCUGCACUAUGACUUGUAACAAAAAACUAUUAGAUUUUAUAAAACAUAAAUUAGAUUAGUUUUAAUCUCAUGUUGUGAUAGUCACCUUCUUCGAAUCUGUCCCUUGCCAUUCUGAAUAUUUUUGCAAGUAUAUUAUCUCUAUCCAGCAUAUUUUAAGUUCCUCGACGAUGUGAGCAUCUAUUGACUCCAUUUUAUCUUCAAACUUCGACGCCUUAAUCCUGUUUCUUACCUCAUUUUCAGUGUCACAGAUGUACAACUGUGCCCAGCGUGGUCUGUCUUUACCUUCAGCGAUUCUGCAAGGUAAGUCGGUAGCUCUCUGAAUGGUGGCAAAUCAACCUUUCCCUGUUGGCAUCAUAGUCCGAAAGAUGGCAUGCUUUUCACUCUACCUGAAGUUCUUUCUUCGUACCAGAAAAUUGCGCCACAUCGGUCACACUUGGAGCUUGGUUUUCCUAUUAGUCCUUUCCGAUAUCCUGUCCAAUUUUCCGAUUUAGCAUCAAUUUAAUGUUAGCAUUGUCUCGUAUUGUUAAUACUUCAAAAAAAUCAAUAGAACUUAUGUAUCUCGUGUUUA